GAUUAGGCAUGCAAGUCGAGCGAUACUUGGGGGAGAGAGGCUGAAGCCGUAAGGUGGAUGUCAAUUUGCCUUGAGAUAUAGCGGCAGACUGGUGAGUAACAUGUGAGUAAUCUACCCCUAAACCGGGGAUAGCUUCGCGAAAGUGGAGGUAAUACCCGAUGUGUUCAUUCUCGCAUAAGCGGGAAUGUGUAAAGGCGGUCCGCAAGGAUUGUUGUUUAGGGAUGAGCUCGCAUCCUAUCAGCUAGUUGGUAGGGUAACGGCCUACCAAGGCUUUUGACGGGUAGCUGGCCUGAGAGGGUGGUCAGCCACAUGGGGACUGAGACACUGCCCCAACUCCUACGGGAGGCUGCAGUCGAGGAUAUUUAGCAAUGGGGGAAACCCUGACUAUGUGACGCCGCGUGAGGGAUGAAGGAUUUCGGUUCGUAAACCUCUUUCGAUGGGAAAGAACUCCCUAAUAGAAAUAUUAGGGCUGACGGUACCCGGAGAAGAAGCCACGGCCAACUCCGUGCCAGCAGCCGCGGUAAUACGGGGGUGGCGAGCGUUACUCGGAUUUAUUGGGUGUAAAGGGCAGGUAGGCGUCUCUAUAAGUCAGAAGUGAAAUCCUAUGGCUCAACCAUAGAACUGCUUUUGAAACUGUAGAGAUUGAGGAUAGAAGAGGAGAGUGGAAUUCCCGGUGUAAGGGUGAAAUCUGUAGAGAUCGGGAGGAACACCUGUGGCGAAAGCGACUCUCUGGUCUAUCCCUGACGCUGAGCUGCGAAAGCUAGGGGAGCAAACAGGAUUAGAUACCCUGGUAGUCCUAGCCGUAAACGAUGAGCACUAGGUGUUGGGGGGUAACCUUCAGCGCCGUAAGAUAACUCGUUAAGUGCUCCACCUGGGGACUACGACCGCAAGGUUAAAACUCAAAGGAAUUGACGGGGGCCCGCACAAGCGGUGGAACAUGUGGUUCAAUUCGACGCUACGCGGAGAACCUCACCAGGGCUUGACAUGCAGGAAGUUGGAACCGGAAACGGGGACGACCUGUCAAGUCAGGAGCCUGCACAGGUGCUGCAUGGCUGUCGUCAGCUCGUGUCGUGAGAUGUUGGGUUAAGUCCCGCAACGAGCGCAACCAUUAUCUUUAGUUGCUACUUUUGAAAGCCGAAAGGCCUAGAGAGGCACUCUAGAGAGACUGCCCGCGAUAAGCGGGAGGAAGGUGGUGAUGACGUCAAGUCAGUACGGCCUUUAUGCCCUGGGCUACACACGUGUUACAACGCCCAUUACAAAGCGUUGCCAAACCGCGAGGUGGAGCUAAUCGCAAAAAAUGGGCUCAGUUCAGAUUGGAGUCUGCAACCCGACUCCAUGAAGACGGAAUCGCUAGUAAUGGCGGAUCAGCUACGCCGCCGUGAAUACGUUCCCGGGCCUUGUACACACCGCCCGUCAAGCGAUGGGAGCUGGGGGUACCC
This 1439-nucleotide ribosomal RNA is filed under the name metagenome. Its description in RNAcentral is "bacterial SSU rRNA". It matches the Rfam family "Bacterial small subunit ribosomal RNA", at positions 47 to 1422 of the family's 1533-position model. The record is from RNAcentral.